UCGUUCCUACGGGGGGCAGCAGUAGGGAAUCUUCCACAAUGGGCGAAAGCCUGAUGGAGCAACGCCGCGUGGGUGAAGAAGGUCUUCGGAUCGUAAUACCCUGUUGUUAGAGAAGAAAGUGCGUGAGAGUAACUGUUCACGUUUCGACGGUAUCUAACCAGAAAGCCACGGCUAACUACGUGCCAGUAGCCGCGGUAAUACGUAGGUGGCAAGCGUUAUCCGGAUUUAUUGGGCGUAAAGGGAACGCAGUCGGUCCUUUAAGUCUGAUGUG
Molecule: ribosomal RNA, 271 nt
Filed under: uncultured bacterium
Lineage: Bacteria
Description: partial 16S ribosomal RNA
Rfam family: Bacterial small subunit ribosomal RNA
Source: RNAcentral